UGGAAUUGCAAGCCCCUAAGGUAGAGAGAAAUGAAUGAAAAAUUUUGUUCUCCCAGAUUGAGUGAAUGGCAACACAUUUCUGCUGGUUGUUGCAUAGACUGAGAGAUGCCGGUCUAGACUACCAGAACUAGGAGGGCCUUGGAGAUCAUCUGUGACAGUGUUUUCCAACUGCAGCAAGCCCCAUCAAUACUGGGGUUUGGAAGUGGGUCCUGGGAGCACACUGGGGAAAAAGUAACAAGGAUUGGACUGGCUACCUGUUUUAGAAUCUUUUACGUGAGUCAACUUCUCCCUGGUACAGACACCCAAAUCGACGAAGUCCUGUCUGCCAUUGCCUCUUUUUUCCACGAGAGUACGUCUACCAUCACCAGAAGAGACGCCAAGCUCAUCUGAAACAAGAAGAUAACAUGGCAUGUUGGACUGCAUGCAGCCUCCCCAUCAAAACCACACUGAGUGUCAGAGCUCUGGGUUUUCAGUAAGAUGUGUCUGAGCUGCCAACAUAUUCCUGACGGUACCAACACUGAAAACUACAGAAAACGCUGGGAACGUUCAGUUAGAAUGUAACCAUCCCUCCCUCUCCCUCAGCUCUAGGGUGGCUGCACUCUGACGCGUUCCAAGCCAGGGAAAUCCACACCGUCUUCUGCACAGAGUGACUGAGUCUCUCAUGUUUCCCAGGGCAAAGAGAAACUAUCCAGGCCUGGACAGCAACAAUUAUGCUGGAUUAUUCUUUAAGAAGAGUCCACUUUGGUGUCUACCAUUUACUUCAGGUCACAAAAACCUGAAAGAAAUCUGCUUAGAUGAGCACAGCUUUGAAAUGCCUUCAGCACUGGAACAGUAACUUUAGUGCCUCAAAAUCCAGGAUUUUAGGGCAAAACAAUGCGCUGACCCUCUGGGUUCAUCUGUCUUGUAAUGUAGUCACUAUAUGUGCUGUACCCAAAUACCCCUUCUUCCUGUUCUAAACUACUUUCCAGUCCUUACUCCAUGGAAGUGGAGUCUCUCAGGAAGACUUAAGAACAAACAAAACAGUUUUUAAAAUGCUCUAAUUCUUAAGAGAUUGAUUUUAACUGAC
Molecule: long non-coding RNA, 1066 nt
Filed under: Rattus norvegicus (Norway rat)
Lineage: Eukaryota; Metazoa; Chordata; Mammalia; Rodentia; Muridae
Description: long non-coding RNA NONRATT027432
Source: RNAcentral